CCUACGGUAGGCAGCAGUAAGGAAUAUUGGUCAAUGGAGGAAACUCUGAACCAGCCAUCCCGCGUGAAGGAUGAAGGGGCUCUGCCUUGUAAACUUCUUUUGUCUGGGGCGAAAAAGCUCGAUUUAUCGAGAACUGACGGUACCAGAAGAAUAAGCACCGGCUAACUCCGUGCCAGCAGCCGCGGUAAUACGGAGGGUUAAAGCGUUAUCCGGAAUCACUGGGUUUAAGGCGUGCUAGGGAGUCUGAGUUGAACGGCGGUGGCUUAACCAUGGAAUUGCCAUUGCUACUGCAGAGCUUGAAUGAGGUUGAGGUUGGCGGAAUGUGACAUGUAGCGGUGAAAUGCUUAGAUAUGUCAUGGAACACCGAUUGCGAAGGCAGCUGACUGGACCUAUAUUGACGCUGAGGCACGAAAGCGUGGGGAGCGAACAGGAUUAGAUACCCGUGUAGUC
RNAcentral lists this ribosomal RNA (450 nucleotides) under uncultured bacterium. RNAcentral's name for it is "partial 16S ribosomal RNA". It matches the Rfam family "Bacterial small subunit ribosomal RNA", at positions 338 to 795 of the family's 1533-position model. The record is from RNAcentral.